This 305-nucleotide ribosomal RNA is filed under the name uncultured bacterium. RNAcentral describes it as "bacterial SSU rRNA". It matches the Rfam family "Bacterial small subunit ribosomal RNA", at positions 335 to 637 of the family's 1533-position model. The record is from RNAcentral.
ACCCCUACGGGACGCAGCAGUGAGGAAUAUUGGUCAAUGGCCGGAAGGCUGAACCAGCCAAGCCGCGUGAGGGAGGAAGGCGCAGAGCGUCGCAGACCUCUUUUGCCGGGGGACAAAAGGCCGGACGGGUCCGGUUCUGAGGGUACCCGGAGAAAAAGCAUCGGCUAACUCCGUGCCAGCAGCCGCGGUAAUACGUAGGGAGCAAGCGUUAUCCGGAUUUAUUGGGUGUAAAGGGUGCGUAGACGGGAAGGCAAGUUAGUUGUGAAAUCCCUCGGCUUAACUGAGGAACUGCAACUAAAACUAUC